UAACGCCAUUUGAAGCUCAUCCUCACCAUGGAUGCCAACAUACGAACAAAUCGACUGUGAGCUAAGAACCAAACGAUCACGUUCGGGUGCAAGAUUUCUGGCUUUUCCUUCUUUAUAGAGCCUUCGAUCACUCCCCUCCUUCGUGCAAGAUAGCCCCGCCUCCUAACCCAGAGGAGGCUGAUGGAGGAGUUCGACGAAGCUGAUGUAUUGUGGCCCGACGAUGCUCGUGGAGCAGAUGAGCUCGCUGAGCAGCAGCAUGCCAGGCGGGGAUCACGACAGAAGGCGUCCAGCCCCGUCGAGAUCCCUUCAAGACCUCGAGCUGCUCAUCGUACGAUCCGUGACGGUAGAGAUGACGCCAAAAGUAGCAGCGGUGAUGGUGAUGAUGAUGGCAGCGGUGACCACAGAGUUCCGCCGCACAUCAUCGUGGCCCGGAGGAAGACGACCUUCUCGGUGUGCGUCGGCGACGGCAGGACGCUCAAGGGACGGGAGCUUUGCCAUGUCAGGAACUCGAUCCUCCGGAUGACCGGAUUCCUGGAGAGAUGAUCCAGGAAAGAGGACGGGAACUGCAUGAAGCGCCAGAAGCUAGUAGUGGUGGUCAUGGCUGUGAGGUACAGGCCACCCAUCUCUUCGCCGCCGUCUCCUUUCUGCUCCUUCUGAGCCCCCCUGUUUCGUCUCCUUCACCGCCCCUCCAUCUCCUCCUCAACCAAUGGAGACGGAAUUACACUUUUGUCCUAACAAGGCAUUAAUUGGGCCCAUUGAAAGCCCAAUCUCAUCAUGGAAACGAUGCUGCAUCGGUGACCGGCUAUUACCGGUUUCUCGAAUCUUAAAAGCGCAAACGGCUACCCGGACCUUUCAAAUUUCCAAAUCCCUCGUUGCCUCGGUGAUGGCGGCCAACGCUUUCCAGAGCUCUACCCCCAUGAAGACCCCCAACCCUAAGAACCAUUUCUCCGCCUCCCGGAGAGCUCCGCCGCCCAAUCAGAUGGACUCCUCCGUCUCCGCCGUCGCGGAUUUCAAGUCCCGCUUCGAGGCCUACAACCGCCUCCAGGCGGCCGCCGUCGCCUUCGGCGAGAGGCUCCCCAUCCCGGAGAUCGUGGCCCUUGGCGGCCAAUCUGAUGGCAAAAGCUCGCUACUUGAAGCCCUCCUCGGCUUCCGGUUCAACGUGCGGGAGGUCGAGAUGGGCACUCGGAGGCCUCUCGUGCUCCAGAUGGUUCACGAUCCCUCAGCCCUCGAACCCCGCUGCAGAUUCCAGGAAGAGGAUUCGGAGGAGUACGGGGGUCCAAUUGUUUUGGCUUCUGCGAUCGCUGAUCUUAUAAGAUCACGAACAGAGGCGCAUCUGAGAAAGCUCCAAGCUUCCGUUUCCUCUAAGCCAAUCGUGAUGAGAGCCGAAUAUGCCCAUUGCCCUAAUCUCACCAUCAUUGACACCCCUGGCUUUGUUCUUAAGGCAAAGAAAGGCGAGCCAGAGAGCACGCCAACUGAGAUUUUGUCAAUGGUGAAGUCACUUGCAAGCCCUCCUCAUCGUCUUCUCUUGUUCCUCCAGCAAAGCAGUGUGGAAUGGUGUUCUUCGCUUUGGUUAGAUGCAAUUCGUGAGAUUGAUCCCACUUUCAAACGGACUAUGAUAGUCGUCUCCAAGUUCGAUAACCGGUUGAAGGAAUUUACUGAACGGUGGGAAGUGGACAACUAUUUGAGCGCCAAUGGUUAUCUUGGUGAGAACAUUCGCCCAUAUUUUGUGGCACUGCCCAAGGACCGAGGCAGCGUCUCAAACGAGGAAUUUCGCAGGCAGAUUUCUCAGGUAGACGCAGAAGUACUGCGUCAUUUGCGUGAUAGUGUCAAUGGAGGAUUCGAUGAGGAAAAGUAUGGACCAUAUGUUGGAUUUAGUUGUCUCAGACAAUACUUGGAAUCUGAGCUUCAAAGGAGAUACAAGGAAGCAGCUCCUGCAACACUUGCCCUGUUAGAACAGCGUUGUAAUGAAGUCUCCAUCGAAUUAGCUCGGGUGGAAUCUAAGUUACAGGCAACCUCUGACGUUUGCCAUCUUCGGAGGUCAGCCAUGUUGCACGUAGCCUCUAUUUGCAGUCAUAUGGUGGCACUAAUUGAUGGAGCAUCAGAUCCUGCUCCUGAAGAGUGGGGUAAAACCACUGACGAAGAGCAGUCAGAUAGUGGCAUUGGCAGCUGGCCGGGAGUCACCGUGGCCGUGAAGCCUCCCAAUCACACCCUUAAACUCUAUGGUGGAGCAGCAUUUGAGAGAGCAAUGCAUGAAUUCCAAUGUGCUACAUACUCCAUCGAGUGCCCACUGGUUUCUAGAGAAAAGGUCGCAAAUAUACUGCUCGCUCAUGCCGGCAGAGGAGGGGGUGGAGGCUUAACCGAGGCAGCUGCUGAAAUAGCACGCGCAGCAGCACGAGCAUGGCUUGCUCCUCUUCUUGAUGCUGCGUGCGAGCGACUCUCUUUUGUUCUCAAGAGCCUUUUUGACUUGGCUUUGGAGCGCAAUCGAAGCCAUGACUCCGACUAUUGGAGGAAAACUGGUGAUAUGGAUGGGUAUAUCGGAUUUCAUGCUGCUCUAAGGCGUUCUUACAACAACUUCAUCCAGGAUCUCUCCAACCAAUGCAAGGAAAUAGUGCAACAUCAUCUCAGUUCAGUGACCAGCCCAUACUCCCAAGUGUGCUAUGAAAAUGAUCUUGUAGGUGAUGUUGGCAGAUUUAACCAGCUCUCUGCCACCUCAUUUGUUCUGGACCUGUCAGAUGCAAAGGAUGAAAUGGUUGCAGAUCAAGAGAACAUACCACCCAAGGAUCAACAGCAUUCAACACCUGGUAAAGCAACUGAAGCAAAGGAUGCUCUUAGGGAAAGCCAAAUGACAGUUCCUGAGACGCCUUCACCUGAUCAGCCACAAGAGGUUUAUGGGGUCAAGAAGGAUACUGUGAACUUGAUGGAUAUUGGAGGAAGAAAACGACAAGCGAGAAUCAUAACUUCUGGAAGAAAUUUGGAAGCUAACAGGAACCAAAACACUAGCAUUUUGUUUGGUGCAGGUAAUAAGGGCUCAAGAACAGGAUCAUCAUAUGCUGAGAUCUGUUCUAUGUCAGCUCAACAUUUUGCCAGGAUACGUCAGGUCCUCAUCGAGAGAAACAUUCCAUCAGCCUUGAGUGCUGGAUUCCUGACUCCCUGUCGCGAGAGGCUGUUCGUUGCGCUUGGCCUUCAGCUGUUCGCCGUGAAUGAUGAGAAGUUCAUGGACAUGUUUGUGGCGCCGGGUGCGAUCGAUGUCCUUCAAGGCGAGAGGCAGUCACUCAACAAGCGCCAAAAGGUCUUGCAAUCUUGUUUGAACGAGUUCAAGAACAUCGCCCGGGCACUCUGAGUGCAAUUCUCGCUGGCGCUGAAGCUGCUUUGGAUUUGGAAGAUGAUUCCCUGCCGAUGGAAAAGGCAUCUCUGAAGAUGCAAUCGAAAUAUCACUGUCAAUUUCUUUAUGACAGGCAAUGAACGAGUGUAGCAUCCCAAAACGAGGUGCCAGUCGUCAGGCCCCGUCGACGAGAGCUUCAUCCUCGACCCGGCCGUUCUCACCGCCAGCCAACGCCUUCUUCCCUUGUUGAGACCGGUCCGGCGAGGGAUCCGAGCGCCGGUAGCAACAUAGCAUUCGGCCCAGCGAUCAACGGUUUCGUUCUCGAGCCGUUAUAUCUCGGGAUGACAUGGGCCCAUCUCUCGGACGGCUCUGAUUAACCUAUAUAUCUCGGGAAGCAAGAAACGUGGCCGAUGACAGGAAUCUAAUCUCCGUAGUCCAAUGGGCUGUUUAAUGGGCCACCGAUUGCAUUAGUCAAUGCCGUUCUAUGCACGCCGAUUGAUCAUAUGUUUACGGUGGUGA
RNA transcript from Musa acuminata AAA Group (dessert banana), 3841 nucleotides. It is a transcript of the gene named dynamin-related protein 5A-like, with no coding region annotated. NCBI's taxonomy places the organism in Eukaryota, Viridiplantae, Streptophyta, Magnoliopsida, Zingiberales, Musaceae. The transcript has 9 exons. The record is from RefSeq and is a predicted model, not a curated record.